GAUGAACGCUGGCGGCGUGCCUAAUACAUGCAAGUCGAGCGAACGGACGAGAAGCUUGCUUCUCUGAUGUUAGCGGCGGACGGGUGAGUAACACGUGGAUAACCUACCUAUAAGACUGGGAUAACUUCGGGAAACCGGAGCUAAUACCGGAUAAUAUUUUGAACCGCAUGGUUCAAAAGUGAAAGACGGUCUUGCUGUCACUUAUAGAUGGAUACGCGCUGCAUUAGCUAGUUGGUAAGGUAACGGCUUACCAAGGCAACGAUGCAUAGCCGACCUGAGAGGGUGAUCGGCCGCACUGGAACUGAGACACGGUCCAGACUCCUACGGGAGGCAGCAGUAGGGAAUCUUCCGCAAUGGGCGAAAGCCUGACGGAGCAACGCCGCGUGAGUGAUGAAGGUCUUCGGAUCGUAAAACUCUGUUAUUAGGGAAGAACAUAUGUGUAAGUAACUGUGCACAUCUUGACGGUACCUAAUCAGAAAGCCACGGCUAACUACGUG
This 497-nucleotide ribosomal RNA is filed under the name uncultured bacterium. RNAcentral describes it as "partial 16S ribosomal RNA". It matches the Rfam family "Bacterial small subunit ribosomal RNA", at positions 28 to 507 of the family's 1533-position model. The record is from RNAcentral.